This 254-nucleotide ribosomal RNA is filed under the name uncultured bacterium. RNAcentral describes it as "partial 16S ribosomal RNA". It matches the Rfam family "Bacterial small subunit ribosomal RNA", at positions 524 to 776 of the family's 1533-position model. The record is from RNAcentral.
UACAGAGGGUGCAAGCGUUAAUCGGAAUUACUGGGCGUAAAGCGUGCGUAGACGGUAGCGUAAGUCGGGUGUGAAAGCCCCGGGCUCAACCUGGGGAAUUGCAUUCGAGACUGCUCUGCUAGGGUGCGGAAGAGGGAAGCGGAAUUUCCGGUGUAGCGGUGAAAUGCGUAGAUAUCGGAAGGAACACCAGUGGCGAAAGCGGCUUCCUGGUCCAGCACCGACGUUCAGGCACGAAAGCGUGGGGAGCAAACAGG